This 578-nucleotide ribosomal RNA is filed under the name uncultured bacterium. RNAcentral describes it as "partial 16S ribosomal RNA". It matches the Rfam family "Bacterial small subunit ribosomal RNA", at positions 355 to 923 of the family's 1533-position model. The record is from RNAcentral.
UGGGGAAUUUUGGACAAUGGGCGAAAGCCUGAUCCAGCAAUGCCGCGUGUGUGAAGAAGGCCUUCGGGUUGUAAAGCACUUUUGUCCGGAAAGAAAUCCUUGGCUCUAAUACAGUCGGGGGAUGACGGUACCGGAAGAAUAAGCACCGGCUAACUACGUGCCAGCAGCCGCGGUAAUACGUAGGGUGCAAGCGUUAAUCGGAAUUACUGGGCGUAAAGCGUGCGCAGGCGGUUUGCUAAGACCGAUGUGAAAUCCCCGGGCUCAACCUGGGGAACUGCAUUGGUGACUGGCAGGCUAGAGUAUGGCAGAGGGGGGUAGAAUUCCACGUGUAGCAGUGAAAUGCGUAGAGAUGUGGAGGAAUACCGAUGGCGAAGGCAGCCCCCUGGGCCAAUACUGACGCUCAUGCACGAAAGCGUGGGGGAGCAAAACAGGAUUAGAUACCCUGGUAGUCCACGCCCUAAACGAUGUCAACUAGUUGUUGGGGAUUCAUUUCCUUAGUAACGUAGCUAACGCGUGAAGUUGACCGCCUGGGGAGUACGGUCGCAAGAUUAAAACUCAAAGGAAUUGACGGGGUCAUA